Molecule: transfer RNA, 62 nt
Filed under: Salinator rhamphidia
Lineage: Eukaryota; Metazoa; Mollusca; Gastropoda; Amphibolidae
Description: tRNA-Gly
Source: RNAcentral
UUUUAGUUAGUAUAAAAAGUACAGUUACCUUCCAAGUAAAAAGUCUAAAAAUAGACUCCAUU